Long non-coding RNA from Fundulus heteroclitus (mummichog), 4271 nucleotides. RefSeq lists it as uncharacterized. The transcript has 4 exons. The record is from RefSeq and is a predicted model, not a curated record. NCBI's taxonomy places the organism in Eukaryota, Metazoa, Chordata, Actinopteri, Cyprinodontiformes, Fundulidae.
UCCCGCUCUGUGGGUGGAGGUGAGACAACUUGUCUCAAUCAACAUCACAACUAAAAAAGAUGUUGACGGACCUGAGAGUGACGGCCCUGGGGAAAGAACACUUUUCUCACCUUCCAGAUCUUUACAAGGAGGACCUAUCCGGGGAGGAUGAGUGGAAGAAGGAGUUCUGUGACCGUAUACACUCAGAUGGAAGGAGAUGGCUGAGCGACAGAGGGUGAAAAUCGGGAACGACCUCACUGUCUCAUCACAUUGUUGGUACUACUGAUGGGCCUCUUUGAUGUCCUCUUCAAGUCCCAUGUCAAAGGAGGGGUCAGCAAGUUGGAUCCCAAAGCUGAGCGGUGCCAGUCUCUUGACCCUAGGAAACUUCAAACUUUACAAGGCUUGCCUAUUGCCUCCUUUUCUCUAUUCUUUAUAUAUUUACAGGUCUGUUGGUUACUGAAUGUGGAAGCAGAUGGCUUGGUGGUCAGUGUGGCGUCGAGUAUUGAACCCAGGAUGAGUGUUUGGAGCUGAUAUGGUGGACAUGAUAAAGCACCCAUCGACAUACAAUUGUGAUUGUCCUGGACCAGCAGGCCAGCCUGGUAUGAAGCAACCAAGUCCUGACAUGACCUCACCUCCACAAGGUCAGUACCCCUACAAGGGGAUAACUCUUCUGAUGACACACCCCUGAGCAUGGCCAGCUGCAUGAGCACUGCAGACUCCGAGCUGUCAGCGUAAAAGACUGCAUGAACUUUUGGUGGACACUGGAGCCACAUAUGGGCCUCUGGGUUGUGGACUAAGACUGUCACUGAAUAUGAUACUGAGAGAAGAAACAGUGUCUGCCAUUGUGAUCUGAGGGGGAGAAAGAAUUGCUGACAUUUAUGGAGGACUGUGAACAGAGCCUGCUACAACUGGUGUUCUCUCCAGCUAUGGAAGAUGCAACGUCUGGGUUCCUGCUCUUCUUCCCACCUGACCCACCACACAUCACUCUGUUCUAUGACAGGAACCGCACAGACUGGUAUCAUGAUUCUUUAAGGUAAAACACAGUCAUUUCUAGGAAUAUGUAUAUGGUACCUGAGCGUUUGGCAGCUGCUACUGCUGAACAAUUUAUAACGAUAUAUGAUGUCGGAUGAAACGAUUUCACACAUUUCUCUUUCUCUCCAUGUUGAGCACAAGAAAGAAGUAGGGGCAUGGUUAAAUAUUCCCUUCAGGCAACUGAUUGGGCUCCUACCAGCGUGCAGGUUUGUUGUUUUAAAAUAUACUGAUACCUUUUAAAUUGUCUGUGAUGUAACUGAUAAGUUUAUUUCAAACAUGAGUUUGAAAUGUUACCAUGGCCGGGAACGUACUGAUCAUCAUUACGCAGCAGAAGGUCCACGGAGGUGGCAAUACUUUCAUGUGUUCCACUUACAUUUAAGAUUAGUAAAGAUAAAAUUGCAAUUUGCCAGGGAGCGUGUCUUUCCUGGGCUGUGUUAUUUUCCGCAGGAACAACCAAUGUGUCCUCCAAUAACAAGCAAAGCGUUCUAACAAACCCAAACUACAGCGCGUGAAAGACACAUUAUUGUUUUGGGACUAAAUGGCUGCUGUCACAACUACAUGGUGGGUACAUUGAUCUCACGCAACCUUUGAGGGACCUCGGGAAAAUAUCAGGUAUGUUAAAUUUGAAUAAGAUUUGGAUUCAGGAUUCGAGGAAGUGUUUUUUUUUUUUUUCUUCCUACUUCACCAAAGAUUAGCCUAUGCAGUUGAAUUGACUCUUUUUGACGGCUUCUUAUGUAAUGAUGGGUGUGGAGCAGAACCCGAUAUUCUGCAGAACACAGUUAUUCCUUUAAACUGGAUUAAAUGGAAGACAGGUGAACAUAAACAGGAUCCAAAUAGAGUUAAGGCAGACAUCCACACAAGCUGGACGGGAACUGGCGAACAGACUGGGCAGAAUAAACAGAAACGGGUAAUCCAAAACAGAAUCAAGGUGUCGGGACUCUUACCAAAACAGAGAGUGUAAACGAGGAGGAACAGGAGCAUGGGCAUGUGAGUGUGACGGACCAACAAAUAACUGAGGAGGAAGUGAGGCUUAAAUAAACAGGCGAACAGGUAAGCAGAGGGAACUAAUUAACCAUAGGACAGUGGAAGCAAUAACGAUGCUGACAGAAGAAUAAACUUAAGACUGAGAAUAACACAAAGCACAGAACACAGAUAAGGACUAAUACAAAGACCGGAAAACUUAAAACCAUACACAGACUAAACAGGAACCUAAAACAAGACAGAACCUACAAAAUAAACAAAACCAGAGGCAGGAGAGAACUAACCUAACCAAACAAUAAACCUAGACCAAAACAGAACGUUACAUUUUACUGUUUCUGGAAAAAAAAAACUAGUUUUGAUUCCAAAAGGUGGAUGUACAUAUAAGUAAAUGUUAGAUAAAAUAGAAAAACAGGGUGCAGGAUUUUUGACAUGAGAAUGGCAUCUAUUGAAGAGGAACUGAGAGAGGAAUUGAUUACAAGAGGAGUGUAGGUGGAGCAGAGCAGCUUCAGAGGUGCGUUGGAGUAGAACGGGUGUUGUAAAACGACCUGAUGGUGUUUCCUCCAGGAUUAAAACAGGAACUUUUCCUGAAGCAACAGGAGUAGAGCAUCUGGGGUUAUAGAGGUUACAGCAAUGUCAUGUGUAAAGUGGUGCGAUGUGUGGUCACUUUAAUCCAAAGAAGAUUCGGACAUCGUUACAAGAAAAAAAUUACUUUGAUUUCAAACCACAAUUAACUAACUUUUGAUUCCACAGACACGGUGAACCACAUCCGAGGUUUAAAGUGUUUGUGUGUGCGUGCGUGGAUUCUUUUACAGGACGGCCAGAGGCCUAUGAAAGGAGAGAACAGAGAAACUAUGAUUAAAUGUCUCAUUAACUAUUACAUUUCUAGGCGUAGGUUUUCUGACAGGAUGAAGAUGGACAAUGGAAAGUAGUAAGGAUUAAUUAGUAUCUGAAAAAAUAAUUGGCUGAAAUCUGUGCACAGACUAAAUUGAUAUGGGGUAAAGUGUUGUUUCUUGUUGGAGUGUUCAGUUAAUUUCAUUGCAGGAUGCAUUCUCUGACUGGAAGGAGUUUUUCGGGGUGCGACGUCAACCUCCCGGGAUUCACAGGUAGCACACGAAAUUUGACAUCUAAAGAUUGUUGUGUAGUUUCAGAUAAUAUUGGAGAUUCCUGAAGAAUGUGAAGGAGGGUCCACCAACCGCCAGACCUCGGCUGAGUGCGCGCUAUGGUCAACGAAGAACAGAGGUGGGGGUUGUGAUUUAGGGUGCUCUGACCACAGUGUGGAGCCGUGAGGUCCCACCACAGGGUGCCAAAGGAAACACUGAGACCAGUGCAGAACCAGAGUGGGAACUCCGGAAAGCCAUCAAAAGAAAGUGGUCAGAACCAAGGUGGACCUGCCCAUACCAGAUGGUGGAACGCACUUUGCACGCAGUCAGGCUUAAAGGAAAAGGCGACACCUGGUAUCAUUGAAGUCAGUGUGCAGCCACUGAGGAACCUCAGCGCUCUCAAACAUCAGGUGCGCGAGGUUUUACAGGAUAACACCACAAAGCGGUGAAAGGGAGCCUACCGGUGAAUCCUCUACUCAACCAGGGUCAUAAUAACACCCGUAGAGAGAUUCAGUGAGCUUAAGCUCACUCACAGAAAUUGCGCAAAGGAGACAGAGCAGAAAAACAAAGAACAAGAGGCGGAAGAAGUGGUCAUUUACGGACCGACCACAGGGCAGUGAGCCGCUCUGCUGCUCCAGGUUGACAGAAGAGGCAGAAGAAGUGGUCAUUUACGGAUCAACCACAGGGCAGUGAACCGCUCUCCUGUUCCAGGAAAAGAAGAAAACCAAAAGAGACUCAGAGAACUGAAAAAAAAGAAAAAAAUUAUUGUUUUUACCUUUGUAUUUUUGCAUUUCUUGUUGAAAUUUGUGUGUUUCUCCACAGGUGUUUUUCCACAGGGGCACUAAAACAGCACAAAGCAUGUGAGCAGGAAUACUUGUGACCAAACCCCCUAAGGGUUGGGUUGCAGGAGGUUUAUUAUUAUCAGUUGUUAUUGUUACAGUUAUAUUGUGGUAUUUUUGCGACUUUCCAUUCCUAAACAUGUCCAGCUGAUCCAACUAGGAAGACCACAAAGACGCGCUAUUACAGCAGCAUCCAAUGACUGGUGCUUAAAACAAUAUGGCAGAGUGGAAUUAAAUUACAGUCGGAGGGCGACAACUACAUUUCAGGUCCACCUUUGUGAUAUUAUAAAGUGCGGUAGUAAAAUUAAUUAUGGACAGUGGAGCAGAUAAAUAAAAAAAA